Molecule: transfer RNA, 64 nt
Filed under: Laemobothrion tinnunculi
Lineage: Eukaryota; Metazoa; Arthropoda; Insecta; Psocodea; Laemobothriidae
Description: tRNA-Leu
Source: RNAcentral
ACUAAGAUGUCAGAUUAAAUGAAUUGAAUUUAAGCUUCAAAUAUGAAUAAUAUUUCUCUUAGUA